RNAcentral lists this transfer RNA (75 nucleotides) under Dehalococcoidia bacterium. Its description in RNAcentral is "tRNA-Arg". It matches the Rfam family "tRNA". Rfam says of the family: Transfer RNA (tRNA) molecules are approximately 80 nucleotides in length. Lineage: Bacteria; Bacillati; Chloroflexota; Dehalococcoidia. The record is from RNAcentral.
GGGGGCGUAGUUCAGAGGGAGAAUGGCGAACUUCUAAUUCGUGCGUCGCCAGUUCAAAUCUGGUCGCCUCCACCU